Long non-coding RNA from Catharus ustulatus (Swainson's thrush), 366 nucleotides. RefSeq lists it as uncharacterized. Lineage: Eukaryota; Metazoa; Chordata; Aves; Passeriformes; Turdidae. The record is from RefSeq and is a predicted model, not a curated record. The transcript has 3 exons.
CGACCCCGCCCCCUCUGCUGGCCCCGCCCCCUCCGCCGGAGGCUCCGCCCCCUUCCGGCCCUGCCGGUCCGCGCUGGGCACAGACUCGGAGGAGGAGGAGGAGGAGGAGGAUGAAGGCCCCGGGGGGUCCCCGCAGGAUUUUGGGGACGUUGGGGACGUUGGGGACCCCCCCGGGCCCCCCCAGAGCGGCGGCGCCUUCCUGGUCACCGUGCCCUGGGGACGCGUGACGGCCGAGUGUCCCCCUGAGGGGGGGCUCCCGGGGUCGCGGCUGGAGCUGGAGCUGGGGGAGGGGCGGCUCUGUGUCCUCCCCCGCCCGGGGGGGGCGCGGGGCCUGACCCGGGCGAGCGCCGAGCUGGGGACCCUCGA